RNAcentral lists this ribosomal RNA (497 nucleotides) under uncultured bacterium. Its description in RNAcentral is "partial 16S ribosomal RNA". It matches the Rfam family "Bacterial small subunit ribosomal RNA", at positions 28 to 507 of the family's 1533-position model. The record is from RNAcentral.
GAUGAACGCUGGCGGCGUGCCUAAUACAUGCAAGUCGAGCGAACAGACGAGGAGCUUGCUCCUCUGACGUUAGCGGCGGACGGGUGAGUAACACGUGGAUAACCUACCUAUAAUACUGGGAUAACUUCGGGAAACCGGAGCUAAUACCGGAUAAUAUAUUGCACCGCAUUGUUCAAUGGUGAAAGACGGUGUUGCUGUCACUUAUAGAUGGUUCUGCGCCGCAUUAGAUAGUUGGUAAGGUAACGGCUUAGCAAGGCGACGAUGCGUAGCCGACCUGAGAGGGUGAUAGGCCACACUGGAACUGGGACAGGGUCCAGACUACUACGAGAGGGAGCAGUAGGGAAUCUUCGGCAAUAGGCGAAAGCAUGACAGAGCAACGCCGCGUGAGAGAUAACGGUCUUCGGAUCGUAAAACUCUGUUAUUAGGGAAGAACAGAUGUGGAAGUAACUAUGCACGUCUUGACGGUACCUAAUCAGAAAGCCACGGCUAACUACGUG